Molecule: ribosomal RNA, 505 nt
Filed under: Bronchocela burmana (Burmese green crested lizard)
Lineage: Eukaryota; Metazoa; Chordata; Lepidosauria; Squamata; Agamidae
Description: partial 16S ribosomal RNA
Rfam family: Bacterial large subunit ribosomal RNA
Source: RNAcentral
AGCCUUUAGACUACACUAGCAUUAAAGGUACUGCCUGCCCAGUGGGGGUUCUUACCCUUAAACGGCCGCGUAUAUAAACGCGCAAAGGUAGCAAAAUCAUUUGUCCUCCAAAUAAGGACCAGAAUGAAAGGCAACAUGAGAAAGAGACUGUCUCUUUAGGAAACCUAAUGAAACUGACCUACCUGUAAAAAUGCAGGUAUAAAUAAACAAGACAAAAAGACCCUGUGAAACUUAAAACGCGAAUCAAAAAAAUGAUUAACACGUUUUUGGUUGGGGCAACCUAAGAGAUACACAAACCUCAACAUACUGCAAGGCAAACAAGCCGCCCAGUAAACCUACAGACCCAGCACAGCUGAUUAAAGAACCAAGCUACUCCAGGGAUAACAGCGCCACAUUCUUGAAGAGUUCAUAUCAACAAGAAUACCUACGACCUCGAUGUUGGAUUAGGGUACCCAGAUGGCGCAAAAGCUAUCAAAGGUUCGUUUGUUCAACGAUUAAAACCCCA